AAUCUACUGGAAAAGUAUUUACCUUGUCUCGUAUAAAUUUUUCUUGAAGACAAGUCAUUAUGUUUUAACUAUUUUGCCCAAUAACAUGCAUUCUCUAACAAUUUCACACGGCCACGUUUUCUUUUUCUUUUUCACGAACAACAAUUCAAGCUAGAUCCAUCCAUAGCCGAAGCCAGAUGUUGUUUGCCUUUGUUUGCGAGCGUCUCGUGUGUGUUCUCGUCCACAAGAAGAUUAAAGGUAAAAGCAUUAAAUUUACCUAAGGAAGCUUCGUUCCUCGUUUGUGCGGUGUGCAAAGAUUGCGCGCAAUUCCCGCUGUUCUCGGAGUGCCGAUGAAGUACGAGUCGUUCAAGGAAUCAACGAAAUGUGCGGGCGCUUGAAUGACUCCAUGGCUGACGCCCGUGGCCACCUGCUACACGCCAGUGCGAAAGAAACUAAAGCACUGUGGGGGCUGCAGGGUGGCUUUGCCAGUAGGAAGGGCGGAAAUUCCUGAAGAUGUAUUCAUCCAUGCUGCAUCAGCUGCUUGGUGUUUUCAUGGCAUCUCUGCACAUGUGCUGGGUUGAUCUUAAGCAGAAAACCAGAAGCGGCAGUGGUCUCCAGUAGAGACCCAAGGACCCCAAGCUCUCUGUGACACAAACAGGA
Molecule: long non-coding RNA, 639 nt
Organism: Rhipicephalus sanguineus (brown dog tick)
Lineage: Eukaryota; Metazoa; Arthropoda; Arachnida; Ixodida; Ixodidae
Exons: 3
Source: RefSeq, a predicted model, not a curated record